CUUAGCGGCGGACGGGUGAGUAACGCGUGGGCAACCUGCCUCAUACGGGGGAUAACAGUUAGAAAUGACUGCUAAUACCGCAUAAGCGCACGAGGGCCGCAUGGCCCGGUGUGAAAAACUCCGGUGGUAUGGGAUGGACCUGCGUCUGAUUAGCUUGUUGGCGGGGUAACGGCCCACCAAGGCGACGAUCAGUAGCCGACCUGAGAGGGUGGCCGGCCACAUUGGGACUGAGACACGGCCCAAACUCCUACGGGAGGCAGCAG
Molecule: ribosomal RNA, 263 nt
Filed under: uncultured bacterium
Lineage: Bacteria
Description: partial 16S ribosomal RNA
Rfam family: Bacterial small subunit ribosomal RNA
Source: RNAcentral